This 576-nucleotide ribosomal RNA is filed under the name uncultured Pseudomonadota bacterium. RNAcentral's name for it is "bacterial SSU rRNA". It matches the Rfam family "Bacterial small subunit ribosomal RNA", at positions 97 to 650 of the family's 1533-position model. The record is from RNAcentral. Lineage: Bacteria; Pseudomonadati; Pseudomonadota.
GGCGAACGGGUGAGUAACGCAUGGGUAACCUGCCUCUGAAUCUGGAAUAACCCGCCGAAAGGCGGACUAAUACCGGAUAUUGUCCCGGAGUCGCAUGACACUGGGAUGAAAGAUGACCUCUUCACGAAAGUUGUCGUUCAGGGAGGGGCUCGCGUACCAUUAGCUAGUUGGUAGGGUAAUGGCCUACCAAGGCGACGAUGGUUAGCUGGUCUGAGAGGAUGAUCAGCCACACUGGAACUGAAACACGGUCCAGACUCCUACGGGAGGCAGCAGUGAGGAAUUUUGCGCAAUAGGGGAAACCCUAACGCAGCAACGCCGCGUGAGUGAAGAAGGCCUUCGGGUCGUAAAGCUCUGUCAAGUGGGACAAAAUCCUGCGGGUAAAUAGCCCGCUGGAGUGAUGGUACUGCUAGAGGAAGCACCGGCUAACUCCGUGCCAGCAGCCGCGGUAAUACGGAGGGUGCAAGCGUUGUUCGGAAUUACUGGGCGUAAAGCGCGUGCAGGCGGUUCGGUAAGUCAGAUGUGAAAGCCCUGGGCUCAACCCAGGAAGUGCAUUUGAUACUGCCGUGCUAGAGUAUG